UCAUCGUCAAAGGAUUGACGAAAAGGUAAUUCAGGUUAUGUCCUCAUCAAGGGGUUGAUGGAAAGGACUUAUUAUGUUAUGUAUGCAUAUGAUGCAUGUUAAAUAAUAAUUUCUCAUUUUUGUGAGAGAGCUUUUUGAUAUGCAACUUCCUUAUUUUGAAAGAAGGUCAUGUGUGUUUAUUGUAUGCAGUGCAUGUGGUAAUGCAAGAUGAAUAUUGAUUGUCUUUUGAUUGAUCUCCCUUUUGGGAGGUGAGACUUUCUGGGUACCAAUGUUGAUUGGAUUUAAGUUUAUGAAGAUGCCAGCGAGGUGGGCUUUUAUUUCUAGUGAUGGCUAAUAUGGAGUGGGCUUUCGGUUUUGGGGAUGACAAUAGCGAUUGGGCUUUAUGGUUAAUGAUAGAGAUUUGUUUUGGGAGGUGCCAAUAACGAUUGGGCUUUAUAGAGAUUUGUUUUGGGAGGUGCCAAUAACGAUUAGGUUUUACGGUUUUUUGGUUUCGACGGGAUCAGGUUGGAUCUGAUGAUGAUUAUAUUUUUGGGUUUGCCAAGUAGGCUUUAAUUUUGGAAGGUAUCAAGCGAAGCUUGGCUUCUUGUUGGGGAAGGGCUUCAUGUUAUGCAUGAUGCAUGAUAUGUAUGAGUGAAGCAAC
Molecule: long non-coding RNA, 640 nt
Filed under: Lathyrus oleraceus (garden pea)
Lineage: Eukaryota; Viridiplantae; Streptophyta; Magnoliopsida; Fabales; Fabaceae
Description: Pisum sativum (pea) long non-coding RNA (PSAT_LNC024291)
Source: RNAcentral